UGGGGAAUAUUGGACAAUGCGGGAAACCGUGAUCCAGCAAUGCCGCGUGAGUGAUGAAGGCCUUAGGGUUGUAAAGCUCUUUUACCAGGGAUGAUAAUGACAGUACCUGGUAAAGAAACCCCGGCUAACUCCGUGCCAGCAGCCGCGGUAAUACGGAGGGGGUUAGCGUUGUUCGGAAUUACUGGGCGUAAAGCGCACGUAGGCGGACUAUUAAGUCAGGGGUGAAAUCCCGGGGCUCAACCCCGGAACUGCCUUUGAUACUGGUAGUCUUGAGUUCGAGAGAGGUGAGUGGAAUUCCGAGUGUAGAGGUGAAAUUCGUAGAUAUUCGGAGGAACACCAGUGGCGAAGGCGGCUCACUGGCUCGAUACUGACGCUGAGGUGCGAAAGCGUGGGGAGCAAACAGGAUUAGAUACCCCUGUAGUCC
This 424-nucleotide ribosomal RNA is filed under the name uncultured prokaryote. Its description in RNAcentral is "bacterial SSU rRNA". It matches the Rfam family "Bacterial small subunit ribosomal RNA", at positions 355 to 796 of the family's 1533-position model. The record is from RNAcentral.